RNAcentral lists this unclassified non-coding RNA (378 nucleotides) under uncultured Parachlamydiaceae bacterium. RNAcentral's name for it is "contains 16S-23S intergenic spacer region". The record is from RNAcentral. Lineage: Bacteria; Pseudomonadati; Chlamydiota; Chlamydiia; Parachlamydiales; Parachlamydiaceae.
UCCUGGUUAACCCAGGCAGUCUCACUAGAGUUCCCGCCAUAACGCGCUGGCAACUAGUGAUAAGGGUUGCGCUCGUUGCGGGACUUAACCCAACACCUCACGGCACGAGCUGACGACAGCCAUGCAGCACCUGUACAGAGGCCCUUGCGGGCUGAGAUAUUUCUACCUCAUUCCUCUGCAUGUCAAGUCUGGGUAAGGUUCUUCGCGUUGCAUCGAAUUAAACCACAUGCUCCACUGCUUGUGCGGGUCCCCGUCAAUUCUUUUGAGUUUCACCCUUGCGAGCGUACUUCCCAGGCGGUAUACUUAUCACGUUAGCUACGGCACAGCCGGGGUUGAGUCCAGCUACACCAAGUAUACAUAGUUUACAGCAAGGACUAC